Molecule: long non-coding RNA, 2541 nt
Organism: Bubalus bubalis (water buffalo)
Lineage: Eukaryota; Metazoa; Chordata; Mammalia; Artiodactyla; Bovidae
Exons: 3
Source: RefSeq, a predicted model, not a curated record
UUUCAUUACAGAAUGUGGUGAAUGAGUUUGCUCACCGUUCCGACAUCCGCUCACUCUGAGACCCGUACCAUCAGUUCUCCCAGCCUUGCCUUGUAAAAUCUAAGAGUCAGAUGGACUGGAAGGAUCACCACCCUCCUUUUCACCUAGGUGAGCAAGACCUAAGGAAGUGAAGGGACCUUAACAAAGUAACACACUGAGUUAAAAGAGGAGCUCAAACCCCAGUCUACUGAACCGCCGAUGGCGCUCUUUCCAGGGUGCCUCGUCAUUGCCAGCUCUCUAAACCAUCACCUCCCAAUCUCAAACGUGAACCCCCAGAAUACCUUCCAGAAAGCUACAGAAAAACAUCAUUCUUUCACGAUAAGGCCGUUCCCUUCCAAGGCUUUAGCAUCAGAUUUUCAUCUUAUCCAAGAAACUCCCAACAAAAAUAACAAAUGGAAGAUGAAAACCUCCAGAACAUUUCAAACAACCCUUUACCUGUGUAUACUGUCAAAUCGGCAUAUCUGACAGCAAGCUGUCAGACAAAGACUCACCCUGAUGUACGUACAUAGACCAGCGGUAACGGAGCCUUGCGGGAAGGGAGCGGCUUCUGAACUAGUCCUUGAGAUGAGCCAACUGCUCUCUUCCCUCCCCCCUCCCCUGCCCACACCCACCCAAAGGCCAGUCUCUCCCAAGCUGUUUAGCAACUCUGUGGAAGACAGCUUAAGGUCCAGGAGCGGAUUGGGAACAGCUAACACUCUGGCAAUCGUUUUCCUUUUCCCUGAGCCCAGACUUCAGUGGGCGUGCAAUGUGGCAUUUUGCUUCUGAUUUCAACCAUUUCCCCAGCAAUUGAGCACGAGAAAAAUAAGAGCUUGUGCCAGCUCAGGAGCAGCCAGCCCCCAGGUUCCCUGCCUCCUUGGCGUGGACUUGGUGACCCAGGCCGUUCCUAUGGACCUAAGAAACGGGCCACAAAUUGCCUGCAGGACAACACAGGAAGGUUCAUCGCACAAUUCCCUUUAAGCCAAAGAAGCAGAUGGGCCUCCAAUCCUGUUGAGAGCAGCCUGGAAGAUCUAUGAGGAUGGUCAAGCCAUCUUACUUGUAGAAACCCAUCUUCGUCCCUGAUUCCUGGUAUAAACACAAGGGCAGCUAAAGAAACAAAACGUUCUCUGUGCCACUGCCAGAUUCCAGUGUGUUAAACAGGAAUACAGAGCGAAGACAUGGUGCGGCACAGGGACCUGCCUCCUUCAACCACUGUUCAACCUUGAGGCCCAGGAGCCUUGGCUUUGGCUUGGAAGCUUAGAGCUCAGCCUGAAGAAAUGGCCCAUAAAAAGCCCCAUUCCUGGCAUUUAUCCAGAUAUUCCCCAGGAGAUGUGUUCAAACAAGAAUCUUCUCUCUACUCACCCACCUCCCAUGACUCUGCUUGUAGGAUGAGUCCGGUCUCAGGAAAGGACAAGCCAGAGAUCUGGGCUCCAGGAUCUGUUCUGCCACUAAUGGAGUCUCAACUGCAAGGAACCAAUGCACUAUGAAUGUGAAAGGUGAAGACAGGAGUGAGGAAGACACCUAGGCAAACUUAGCUGCAGGCAGACAAGACCCUCUCACAGUGGGAUUAAAGGAGCAUGCGAUGGUGCCUGGCCUCUGGGUUGUAUCUGCUGAUACUUACAAUCAGGUCAGCCGAAAUUCAUAACUUUGACUCAAAUUUUUAUCCAUCAUUAAAGGAAAUCCCCAAGAGUGUCUAGACAGAAUUUAUUGUUGUUUUCGGUCACUGACACCUUUUGGAGAAGGGUCUGAUGUCAGGAGAGAGCUCAUUGGAAGAUGGCAAAUUCACAUGCAUCUGAGAUGAGAGAGUGGGUAAGGACCCUUGCUGGCUGGCUGCUGCAUGUUCUUUAAGAAAUGGCCAGCUGCUCCCUAGCAGAGUCUUGGAAUAUAAGAGCCCCUGGCUUUACAUGAUCCCAAAGAGAGAACAAGAGACACCAAGGGAACAUGGCCAGUGUCGGGGUGGCAGUAUCCUUGUCCACCAUGGUGGGAGUAACUGGGCACCAACCCCAUUAUUCAGAAGAGCCCAACCUGGGAAUCCAGGGACUUGGGUUCUAGACUUGGAAUUUUCCAUGUUAAGAUUAGAAGGUAGAUGGCAUCAUCUCUAACACCUUGCCCAGCUUGAGGAGCCGAUGGUUACUUUAGAUUAGGCAAAUAUUUCUCCUGAGUGAUGGAAAACAUGUAAGAGACAUGGUAGCAUGAGUGUCUGGGCUGUGAGAAAAAUGGGGAGAAAAAAGGAACUGAAGUCAUGCAGGGUGGGUGAGACUAUCCACAGGCAAUCCACACAAUUUCUUGAAAUGAUUUCAAGAAAAAUCUGUUGCCUCCAUGCCUUAUCCUUCUGAUAUAGUAGUUCACAUUCUACUCCAUCUUAGACCCUCUGAAUGGCUUUAACAGUAGAAUAAUUUAAAAUUUAGCAUUUUAUUUGAUUCCCCAUCUCCCUUUAAAAAAAAAAAAAAGAAACUAUGAACUUAGCAAGAAUUCUCAUCCCUAUUUCCCAGGAAAAAAUGUCCUGGAACUCAGGGACUUACACAA